GACGAGCCACACAAACGUUAUUCGGAAUUACUGGGCUUAAAGGGUGCGUAGGCGGCGCGGAAAGUUGGGUGUGAAAUCCCUCGGCUCAACCGAGGAAUGGCGCCCAAAACUACCGUGCUGGAGGAAGACAGAGGUGAGCGGAACUCAGGGUGGAGCGGUGAAAUGCGUUGAUAUCGGAAGGAACGCCGGUGGCGAAAGCGACGUGCUGGAUCUCUUCUGACGCUGAGGCGCGAAAGCUAGGGGAGCAAACGGG
Molecule: ribosomal RNA, 253 nt
Filed under: uncultured prokaryote
Description: partial 16S ribosomal RNA
Rfam family: Bacterial small subunit ribosomal RNA
Source: RNAcentral